RNAcentral lists this long non-coding RNA (231 nucleotides) under Gossypium raimondii (Peruvian cotton). RNAcentral describes it as "long non-coding RNA (GRAI_LNC010099)". Lineage: Eukaryota; Viridiplantae; Streptophyta; Magnoliopsida; Malvales; Malvaceae. The record is from RNAcentral.
ACCUCCACUUAGACUUUGACCUAUGACCGUAUCAAGCAUUGUCACCCCAAAAUCUGACUUCCAUAGGAUGGGUUUCUGAGGUAAUGGUGCUAUGUUGGCAUGACAUAUGAAAUGUAUGGGUUCUUAAUCGCGUUAUCGCAUCCUCGGCCCGUCAAAUCUGUCUAUAAACUUUCACGGUUUCACUCCUAAAACCCUAACCUUAAUUCCUAUGAAAAAAAUCUAACCCUAACC